CGCCCUUCCUACGGGGGGCAGCAGUGGGGAAUUUUGGACAAUGGGCGCAAGCCUGAUCCAGCAAUGCCGCGUGCAGGACGAAGGCCUUCGGGUUGUAAACUGCUUUUGUACGGAGCGAAACGGUCUGGGUUAAUACCCUGGGCUAAUGACGGUACCGUAAGAAUAAGCACCGGCUAACUACGUGCCAGCAGCCGCGGUAAUA
RNAcentral lists this ribosomal RNA (202 nucleotides) under uncultured bacterium. RNAcentral describes it as "partial 16S ribosomal RNA". It matches the Rfam family "Bacterial small subunit ribosomal RNA", at positions 331 to 525 of the family's 1533-position model. The record is from RNAcentral.